Molecule: ribosomal RNA, 346 nt
Filed under: uncultured eukaryote
Lineage: Eukaryota
Description: SSU rRNA
Rfam family: Eukaryotic small subunit ribosomal RNA
Source: RNAcentral
AUAGCGUAUAUUAAAGUUGUUGCAGUUAAAAAGCUCGUAGUUGAACUUCAGACCUGGCUGGACGGUCUGCCUAACGGUAUGUACUGUCUGGCUGGGCCUUACCUCUUGGUGAGCCGGCAUGCCCUUCACUGGGUGUGUCGGGGAACCAGGACUUUUACCUUGAGAAAAUUAGAGUGUUCAAAGCAGGCUUAUGCUCGAAUACAUUAGCAUGGAAUAAUAAAAUAGGACGUGCGGUUCUAUUUUGUUGGUUUCUAGAGUCGCCGUAAUGAUUAAUAGGGACAGUCGGGGGCAUCAGUAUUCAAUUGUCAGAGGUGAAAUUCUUGGAUUUAUUGAAGACUAACUACUG